GUGAGGUUUGGGGAGUCGUAUUAGCACUUGCAGCAAUGUUUGGUACAGCAUUAUGGACCUUUGAAUUAAUCCACGAACGCGUCAUACGGAGUAGCACUGCCCAGUUUUCUAGGUCCUUAUUGCACAGUUGGGGCGCCCUGUUGAAACAGUGUAUUUUCUACCGACCUGCCGACACCUCUAGACAGGUAAUACUGGGAUGGUGGCUCACAUUCUCUUUAGUAAUCACCACCGCGUAUCAGUCUUCUUUGAUCGCGAAUCUCAGCAUCCAGAGCAAGUCCAAGCAACCUGAAACAUUCAAGGAUUUAGUACUGGCAGAAAACUGGGAAUGGGCGACUGAACCGUGGAUGCUGAAAGGAUAUCCAUAUGAAUAUUUCACAAAACAUAAAGAUCCAGUUGUAAUUAAAAUAUACAAGAAACUCAAAGUGAUGGCAGCGAAAGAAGCUCUUGCUGAGGUGAUGAAAGGCCACUUCUCUUUGAUAAGUCAUGAAAAUCAUAUAACAGUAAUUGUUUCAUCCUACUUCACUGACGAUCGGCGUCGAACCCCCUUUCAAAUAAGCAAAAAGGGAUUUUCGAUCA
Scylla paramamosain (green mud crab) is the source of this 576-nucleotide long non-coding RNA. RefSeq lists it as uncharacterized. The record is from RefSeq and is a predicted model, not a curated record. Lineage: Eukaryota; Metazoa; Arthropoda; Malacostraca; Decapoda; Portunidae. The transcript has 3 exons.